UGGGGAAUAUUGCGCAAUGGACGAAAGUCUGACGCAGCGACGCCGCGUGUGGGAUGAAGCUCUUCGGGGUGUAAACCACUGUUGCCCGGGACGAAAUGCCCUUUCGAGGGAAUUGACGGUACCGGGUGAGGAAGCACCGGCUAACGCUGUGCCAGCAGCCGCGGUAAUACAGAGGGUGCGAGCGUUGUCCGGAAUCACUGGGCGUAAAGGGCGCGUAGGUGGCGGCAUAAGGCCGCGGUGAAAGUUCAGGGCUCAACCCUGAAUCGGCCGCGGCGACUGUGUCGCUUGGGCACUGUAGAGGCAGAUGGAAUUCCGGGUGUAGCGGUGGAAUGCGUAGAGAUCCGGAAGAACACCGGUGGCGAAGGCGGUCUGCUGGGCAGUGGGAGCGUAAGCUCCUUUUAGCCGACACUGAGGCGCGACAGCGUGGGGAGCAAA
Molecule: ribosomal RNA, 435 nt
Filed under: uncultured bacterium
Lineage: Bacteria
Description: bacterial SSU rRNA
Rfam family: Bacterial small subunit ribosomal RNA
Source: RNAcentral